This 109-nucleotide transfer RNA is filed under the name Hypoxylon rubiginosum. RNAcentral describes it as "tRNA-Arg". It matches the Rfam family "tRNA". Rfam says of the family: Transfer RNA (tRNA) molecules are approximately 80 nucleotides in length. Their secondary structure includes four short double-helical elements and three loops (D, anti-codon, and T loops). The record is from RNAcentral. Lineage: Eukaryota; Fungi; Ascomycota; Sordariomycetes; Xylariales; Hypoxylaceae.
GGCCCUUUGGCCCAAUGGUAAGGCGUCUGACUACGAGACCAAACAUGGUAAAACCACCAAUGUUUGCUCGGUUAUCAGGAGAUUCUGGGUUCGAGCCCCAGGAGGGUCA